RNAcentral lists this long non-coding RNA (1507 nucleotides) under Heterocephalus glaber (naked mole-rat). RNAcentral describes it as "lncRNA (ENSHGLG00000044989.1)". The record is from RNAcentral. Lineage: Eukaryota; Metazoa; Chordata; Mammalia; Rodentia; Bathyergidae.
AGGGCUUCCGCGUCCUGCAAGCCCAGGGCCACACGGGCCCACCCCAAAGUCCGUGCUGCUAAGGAGCCUGCGGUUCCUUGGGUGGUUCUCAAACUUGAGCUGCUUGGAACCCAGGGGUACACCGGUCGGGCCUGGUUCCUGACCCAGCGAAGGUCUGAGGGCGGGGGCUGGGCUUCCUACCGCCUCCAGGGGGCGCUCUGAGGCAGGUCCUCUUCAGUACCACCGAGUGCUGUAACUCAGUCCGUGCUAACCUGAGCUAGCGCUGAUCUAAUGAAUCAGCAUCUCCCAACACACCUGUGCGUUAGGGUGCAGCGAGCACCGUCAGGACGCCAGGAGCACCUGGCAAUGUUUUCUAAAAAGGACACCUCAGGAGUGUGUGCAAUCACUCUGUGGACAGGUUCUGGAUUGCCUCUGCAGCCCCUGCUGUCUGAGCCUUUGCAGCCCAGCCAAAGAGCACGGAUUGCCCAACUUUGCGCCGAGGAAGGGUAAGCAGCGCAGGGCACAGAGGCGGAAUCGGGAACUGGGUGACGGAAGGCCUCGUGAGGUUUCAUCAUCCCGGGAUCAAGGCUCACAUUCGCCCAGGCCUCACUCAUGCCAAGAGCACACCUUACAGGCUGGAAACCAAGGCCCCCGAGGUCACGGGGUGCACGCACCUGGGGAGCCGGCUGACUCAGGUGGUCUUGCUCCAGGGCGGUGUGACUUCCCCUCCAGGGCUGACCGAAGCCUCCAAGUUGAACUUGCAAUGCGCAGAUACUUUCUAAUUUCCAGAGGAAAAGGCAGGGUGGUAAGAAUGCCCAGCACAAGCUUGGCCCGGAUAGGGGCAUGGCCGGGUCACGGGCACCCCCUGCCGCUCACGUGGGACCCCCACCAAGUGUGUCCCUUGCUUCUCCAGUGACAGUGGCGCCUGUGGAGCUCAGGAGUCAGAUAGGGUGCAGGUGGCGGCUGCCCCCCAGUCCCUGGCCUGAGCCUCUUUUAGUCCAGUUGACAAAACACGAAUUCUGCGUCAUCGUCAGCUUCCUGUGCGUGGUCCUCCCCGGGCCCUGCAGCCGCCUGUCAACGCUGCCUUCCAAAAUGAGCCCCGUUGGCCUGGCGCAGGCGGAAAGCUCCAGCCCUAGGCCCUACCUGGCCUGGUCUUGGGCCCUGGCUGACCACAGCUCAGCUUGGUUGGAAGUGCACACAGUAAGUGCUUCCGGGGUGCUGGCUGCCCGCUCCCCACACCCCAGCUCCACAUCCAGGUCCUCUGGGCUCUUGGACUCAACAGUGAUUGUGGGACAGCCACCGUGCUCCAUGCAUGGGCGGGGCUGAGGGGCUACUGUGCCUGCCCUGCCCAAUCCCGGGGGACACACGCAGGCGGCCUGGGUUUCUCUACCACCUCUGCAUCCUUCAGGGAGCACAGGGCUUCCUAGGUCCAACUGACAUCCCCAGGAGGGGGCGUUUCAGGCCGGUCCCUGGGGUGCAGCCAGGAAGCUAAGGCUGAGCAUGGAAUGGCCCUCAGCUCUGGGCUCUC